This 253-nucleotide ribosomal RNA is filed under the name uncultured bacterium. RNAcentral describes it as "partial 16S ribosomal RNA". It matches the Rfam family "Bacterial small subunit ribosomal RNA", at positions 524 to 776 of the family's 1533-position model. The record is from RNAcentral.
GACGGAGGAUGCAAGCGUUAUCCGGAAUUAUUGGGCGUAAAGCGUCCGUAGGUGGCUAGUCAAGUCUGCGGUCAAAGACUGGGGCUUAACCCUGGAAAGGCAGUGGAAACUGAAGUGCUAGAGUGCAGUAGGGGUAGAGGGAAUUCCCGGUGUAGCGGUGAAAUGCGUAGAGAUCGGGAAGAACAUCGGUGGCGAAAGCGCUCUGCUGGACUGCAACUGACACUCAGGGACGAAAGCUAGGGGAGCGAAUGGG